RNAcentral lists this ribosomal RNA (534 nucleotides) under Alternaria sp. LF33. Its description in RNAcentral is "eukaryotic LSU rRNA". The stretch from base 170 to 323 matches the Rfam family "5.8S ribosomal RNA". Lineage: Eukaryota; Fungi; Ascomycota; Dothideomycetes; Pleosporales; Pleosporaceae. The record is from RNAcentral.
GGGGAACUACAAUAUGAGGCGGGCUGGACCUCUCGGGGUUACAGCCUUGCUGAAUUAUUCACCCUUGUCUUUUGCGUACUUCUUGUUUCCUUGGUGGGUUCGCCCACCACUAGGACAAACAUAAACCUUUUGUAAUUGCAAUCAGCGUCAGUAACAAAUUAAUAAUUACAACUUUCAACAACGGAUCUCUUGGUUCUGGCAUCGAUGAAGAACGCAGCGAAAUGCGAUAAGUAGUGUGAAUUGCAGAAUUCAGUGAAUCAUCGAAUCUUUGAACGCACAUUGCGCCCUUUGGUAUUCCAAAGGGCAUGCCUGUUCGAGCGUCAUUUGUACCCUCAAGCUUUGCUUGGUGUUGGGCGUCUUGUCUCUAGCUUUGCUGGAGACUCGCCUUAAAGUAAUUGGCAGCCGGCCUACUGGUUUCGGAGCGCAGCACAAGUCGCACUCUCUAUCAGCAAAGGUCUAGCAUCCAUUAAGCCUUUUUUUCAACUUUUGACCUCGGAUCAGGUAGGGAUACCCGCUGAACUUAAGCAUAUCAAG